GCCGGGGUGGCACAGUGGUUGACUGCGCCUGAUUUGUAAUCAGGAUCCGCAAGGACGCGUCGGUUCGAAUCCGACCCUCGGCUCCA
RNAcentral lists this transfer RNA (86 nucleotides) under Bacteroidaceae bacterium. RNAcentral describes it as "tRNA-Thr". It matches the Rfam family "tRNA". From Rfam's summary of the family: Transfer RNA (tRNA) molecules are approximately 80 nucleotides in length. Their secondary structure includes four short double-helical elements and three loops (D, anti-codon, and T loops). The record is from RNAcentral. RNAcentral also lists the same sequence under 1 other name. Lineage: Bacteria; Pseudomonadati; Bacteroidota; Bacteroidia; Bacteroidales; Bacteroidaceae.